Non-coding RNA from Mycena rebaudengoi, 94 nucleotides. Lineage: Eukaryota; Fungi; Basidiomycota; Agaricomycetes; Agaricales; Mycenaceae. The record is from the annotation of a GenBank genome assembly.
GCCUUGGUGGAUCAAUUGGCAGAUCAUCCCAACUUUAUGAACUGUCCUUCAAUGAGUAUACAGGAAGCCGGAGGUUCGAAUCCUCCCCGAGGCA